RNAcentral lists this ribosomal RNA (218 nucleotides) under uncultured bacterium. RNAcentral's name for it is "partial 16S ribosomal RNA". It matches the Rfam family "Bacterial small subunit ribosomal RNA", at positions 116 to 334 of the family's 1533-position model. The record is from RNAcentral.
CGUAUACAAUCUACCCAAUACUGGAGGAUAGCCCGGGGAAACUCGGAUUAUUACUUCAUAGUAUCACAGAUAGGCAUCUUGAAGUGAUUAAAGAUUUAUCGGUAUUGGAUGAGCAUGCGUCUGAUUAGUUUGUUGGUGAGGUAACGGCUCACCAAGACGAUGAUCAGUAGGGGUUCUGAGAGGAUGAUCCCCCACACUGGCACUGAGAUACGGGCCAG